AGUGAACGCUGGCGGCAGGCCUAACACAUGCAAGUCGAACGGCAGCACAGAGGAGCUUGCUCCUUGGGUGGCGAGUGGCGGACGGGUGAGGAAUACAUCGGAAUCUGCCUAUUUGUGGGGGAUAACGUAGGGAAACUUACGCUAAUACCGCAUACGACCUACGGGUGAAAGCGGAGGACCUUCGGGCUUCGCGCAGAUAGAUGAGCCGAUGUCGGAUUAGCUAGUUGGCGGGGUAAAGG
RNAcentral lists this ribosomal RNA (239 nucleotides) under Luteimonas sp. RNAcentral describes it as "partial 16S ribosomal RNA". It matches the Rfam family "Bacterial small subunit ribosomal RNA", at positions 29 to 263 of the family's 1533-position model. Lineage: Bacteria; Pseudomonadati; Pseudomonadota; Gammaproteobacteria; Lysobacterales; Lysobacteraceae. The record is from RNAcentral.